CCUACGGGUGGCAGCAGUGGGGAAUAUUGGACAAUGGGGGAAACCCUGAUCCAGCGACGCCGCGUGAGUGAAGAAGUAUUUCGGUACGUAAAGCUCUAUCAGCAGGAAAGAAAAUGACGGUACCUGACUAAGAAGCCCCGGCUAACUACGUGCCAGCAGCCGCGGUAAUACGUAGGGGGCAAGCGUUAUCCGGAUUUACUGGGUGUAAAGGGCGUGCAGCCGGAGAGACAAGUCAGAUGUGAAAUCCACGGGCUCAACCCGUGAACUGCAUUUGAAACUGUUUCCCUUGAGUGUCGGAGAGGUAAUCGGAAUUCCUUGUGUAGCGGUGAAAUGCGUAGAUAUAAGGAAGAACACCAGUGGCGAAGGCGGAUUACUGGACGAUAACUGACGGUGAGGCGCGAAAGCGUGGGGAGCAAACAGGAUUAGAUACCCCUGUAGUC
RNAcentral lists this ribosomal RNA (440 nucleotides) under uncultured bacterium. Its description in RNAcentral is "partial 16S ribosomal RNA". It matches the Rfam family "Bacterial small subunit ribosomal RNA", at positions 338 to 795 of the family's 1533-position model. The record is from RNAcentral.